UGCCAGACUCCUACGGGAGGCAGCAGUGGGGAAUAUUGCACAAUGGGGGAAACCCUGAUGCAGCAACGCCGCGUGGGUGAAGGAGCGUUUCGGCGCGUAAAGCCCUGUCAGCGGGGAAGAAGAAAGACGGUACCCGACCAAGAAGCCCCGGCUAACUACGUGCCAGCAGCCGCGGUAAUACGUAGGGGGCAAGCGUUAUCCGGAUUUACUGGGUGUAAAGGGAGCGUAGACGGCUAAUCAAGUCAGAAGUGAAAACCCAGGGCUCAACCUUGGGAGUGCUUUUGAAACUGAGUAGCUAGAGUGCAGGAGAGGUAAGCGGAAUUCCUAGUGUAGCGGUGAAAUGCGUAGAUAUUAGGAGGAACACCAGUGGCGAAGGCGGCUUACUGGACUGUAACUGACGUUGAGGCUCGAAAGCGUGGGGAGCAAACAGGAUUAGAUACCCCAGUACAA
RNAcentral lists this ribosomal RNA (450 nucleotides) under uncultured bacterium. Its description in RNAcentral is "bacterial SSU rRNA". It matches the Rfam family "Bacterial small subunit ribosomal RNA", at positions 329 to 797 of the family's 1533-position model. The record is from RNAcentral.